RNAcentral lists this unclassified non-coding RNA (1222 nucleotides) under Daphnia pulicaria. Its description in RNAcentral is "tetraspanin-31-like, transcript variant X3". Lineage: Eukaryota; Metazoa; Arthropoda; Branchiopoda; Diplostraca; Daphniidae. The record is from RNAcentral.
CAGACGUCAGUAGAAAAGUCAUCAGAACAGCUGCUUUCCAAUACUUCCAACUUUCACAAUCAUUUCUAAAGUGACUCAAAGAGUUGAGCUAGGUAAUUGAAGUGAGUCAAGUGACUGCUAGUCGUGUGCAGAGUUAAUUCAGAAAUUUCCUCAACAAUUUCAUCAAAAUGUGUGGUGGAUUUAAGUUCUCCAAAAAUGCACUUAUUGCUCUUAAUAUCCUCUACAUUUUGGUUGGGUUUAUCCUAAUUGGAGUAGCUACCUAUGGGAAAGCUGCCAAUUUGGUAACUAGCUUACCUAUUAUUGGUGGGAUAGUAGCAUGUGGCAUAUUUCUCUUGGUAAUUGCCAUAAUGGGUUUGAUUGGAGCUGUAAAACAUCAUCAAGUGCUUCUUUUCUUCUAUAUGGUGGUCCUUUUCAUCUUGUUUGUCAUCCAAUUUGCCAUAGCCUGUGCUUGCCUUGCUGUGAAUUCAGAUACUCAGAACACUUUAGCUGUAGCAGGUUGGAAUAGUGCUGACAAUGCCACUAAAGCAGAUGUUGAGAACAAUUUUAAGUGUUGUGGAUUCCACAAUACCACUGAUUCGGGUACCGGAUGCGCGGAAAAAUUCAGUGAUCGUCCAACGUGUGAAAGUGCGCUUGAAAAUAUGAUCAAUUAUGGUUUCCGUGUGUCAGGUGGAAUCGGUCUUUUCUUCAGCUUCACUGAGUUCGUUGGAGUGUGGUUGACCGUACGCUAUCGCAAUCAGAAAGACCCAAAGGGCCACCCCGGUGCUUUUCUCUAAAUUCUUCCUACGAAUCCAUCUGCCGUUGAUCCCCCGUUUGUUCUAUUCCAUUUUACCGUACCCUUUUUUCUCCUUCACACUUACCAUCUUUGCAUAACACUCAUUCCUAGGACUCAAGCUUGUGGGAUUCUCAGUCGCAUAUCGCUUCAGACACAUGGCUGCUGGAAUGAACGAGGUGCAGUGAUUUUCGAAGACAUGAUUGGAAACUGUGUCAAAGCGCUCCCUACACUAGAAUUUUCAUCAGCUCCCAUUCCACAAUUAAUUUUUUUUUUUUAAAUUUCGCCAUGUGUGCUCAUCGUCCUUUGGACUUCAGUUAGCAAAAGUUUUAUGUUUUCCUUUUUUCUCGGAAUGAUGCAAUGCUGAAGUGGUGCGGGAUAUGCGUAAUAUAAUUGAUGUGGCAAUAGAUGUUGUUCAGUUAACUGAAAUACAUUAUAAAUCUAACUAUCAAA